GUGAUGAUGAUCUGUCAAGACUGAUGUCUACUGAUGUUUUUGUCAAUAGUCCUCUAAGAAGUGCUGAACUG
Molecule: small nucleolar RNA, 71 nt
Organism: Pecten maximus
Lineage: Eukaryota; Metazoa; Mollusca; Bivalvia; Pectinida; Pectinidae
Product: small nucleolar RNA SNORD61
Exons: 1
Source: RefSeq, a predicted model, not a curated record